RNAcentral lists this ribosomal RNA (380 nucleotides) under uncultured bacterium. Its description in RNAcentral is "bacterial SSU rRNA". It matches the Rfam family "Bacterial small subunit ribosomal RNA", at positions 29 to 435 of the family's 1533-position model. The record is from RNAcentral.
AGCGAACGCUAGCGGCGGGCCUAACACAUGCAAGUCGAGCGGGGGAGCAAUCCCCAGCGGCGGACGGGUGAGUAACACGUAGGUUAUGUGCCCUUUGGGUGGGGAAUAACCGUGGGAAACCAUGGCUAAUUCCGCAUAUCGAGCGAAAUCUUGAAAGCCUUCGGGCGCCAAAGGAGCAACCUGCGGCCCAUUAGCUUGUUGGUAGGGUAACGGCCUACCAAGGCGAUGAUGGGUAGCUGGUCUGAGAGGAUGAUCAGCCACACUGGAACUGAGACACGGUCCAGACUCCUACGGAGGCAGCAGUGGGAAUAUUGCGCAAUGGCGAAAGCUGACGCAGCCACGCCGCGUGAGUGAUGAAGGCCCUCGGUCGUAACGUACUA